This 253-nucleotide unclassified non-coding RNA is filed under the name uncultured Caryophanales bacterium. RNAcentral describes it as "uncultured Bacillales bacterium contains 16S-23S intergenic spacer region". It matches the Rfam family "Bacterial small subunit ribosomal RNA", at positions 524 to 776 of the family's 1533-position model. Lineage: Bacteria; Bacillati; Bacillota; Bacilli; Caryophanales. The record is from RNAcentral.
UACGGAGGCGGCAAGCGUUAACCGGAAUUAUUGGGCGUAAAGCGCGCGCAGGCGGCCUGGUAAGUCGGAUGUGAAAUCCCCCGGCUCAACCGGGGAGGGCCAUUGGAAACUGGGAGGCUUGAGUAUAGGAGAGAAGAGUGGAAUUCCACGUGUAGCGGUGAAAUGCGUAGAGAUGGGGAGGAACACCAGUGGCGAAGGCGACUCUUUGGCCUAUAACUGACGCUGAGGCGCGAAAGCGUGGGGAGCAAACAGG